UACGUAGGUUGCAAGCGUUGUCCGGAAUUAUUGGGCGUAAAGCGCGCGCAGGCGGUCCUUUAAGUCUGAUGUGAAAGCCCACGGCUCAACCGUGGAGGGUCAUUGGAAACUGGGGGACUUGAGUACAGAAGAGAAGAGUGGAAUUCCACGUGUAGCGGUGAAAUGCGUAGAGAUGUGUAGGAACACCAGUGGCGAAGGCGACUCUUUGGUCUGUAACUGACGCUGAGGCGCGAAAGCGUGGGGAGCAAACAGG
RNAcentral lists this ribosomal RNA (253 nucleotides) under uncultured bacterium. RNAcentral's name for it is "partial 16S ribosomal RNA". It matches the Rfam family "Bacterial small subunit ribosomal RNA", at positions 524 to 776 of the family's 1533-position model. The record is from RNAcentral.